RNAcentral lists this long non-coding RNA (531 nucleotides) under Homo sapiens (human). Its description in RNAcentral is "HSALNT0262785". Lineage: Eukaryota; Metazoa; Chordata; Mammalia; Primates; Hominidae. The record is from RNAcentral.
CUUGAUCUCACAUCUUUUCUCUGGGUCUGAAAAGAAAAAGAUAGAAAAAAAAAUUAAAUGUUGCCACUUGUCCUGAGCUGGAAAAAUGGCUAACAGCUGAACUGUUCUAACAGAAUGGGAAGACAGAUGGACAAAUGACCUCCUGGUGCUGAGAGAGGGAAGGAGGCAGCUGCCUGUGGAUCCACUGUGCUGGGGCUAGCCCCAGAGGAGGGGGCUCACACUGCUGGGAGGUCCUUUCCAGGCUGUGUGGCUGCAGGUAAGUGGCUACCUGCUCUGAGGCUCUGCCUGGUUUUCUCUCUCUAAACAGGGCUCCAGCCUCCCCUUCUCCCGAGGGACAUGGCAGGUCUCUCAGCAAGCUUGGCCUCAUGUUAUGUGUGGGCUCAGCCCCUCACACACAGGCAUUCCCUGAACCAACUAGUAGGCUGUGUGCAUACAGCAGAGAGUGCUCGGCCUUUGGCUCCUCCGGGUACACUCCUGCUGCUGCUGGACAGGCUACGUCUGAAGCUUGUCCUCCCCACUUCCUGUGUGAGA